AACCUAUGAAAAAAAAACCAGCUAACAGAUCCAGUCGUUGACGAUUCCUCCUGCGCUCGAAUCACACGCGCACGUCCCCCCGCUCGGUCCCUUCCCCGCAGCCCUUUCAGUUCAACGUCGCACGACAACCGCCGCUGUUCACGUUGAGUAUCCGCCGGGGUUCACUUCCACGGCGAUCCCUAUGUGCGGCGCCGUUCUUGACGAGUUUUGAGGACCCGCAGAUUCGUCGCCGCCCAGAUGCAGGAACCGUCGUGAUUCGCGUAAUGAUCCGACGCCGAUCCGUUCCAGGAGCCGUCAUCGUUCGCGUACAGAUCCGCCGCCGAUCCGCGGCCUGAGUCGCGGUUCGCGUACAGAUCCAGCGGUGAUCCCUUGCCGUAGCCGAUCGCGAAUAUAGGUGCAUAUGGGGAAUUCAAAAAGCAAGGCAGGUGAACAUCAACAAAUAGAGGAUGUUACUACGGGCCUUACGAGCGGGAGAAAUGUUGAAUAAUACAAUGCAAGCAUCAUACCCGUAGCUGAAAAUGUUGACGAUACUUACACGAUGGUUCCAGAUGGAUCAAGAUCGCUAUGGAUUGGAGACCAUCAUGAUGCUUCGUUGUUGGCUCCAAGUAAUCUAACACAGGAUUAUGGCACAUAUGUAGCAUAGGAUUCAUAUGGUACUGACUCAUCCGCAUUUCAUAUGACAUGGUUUAUAAUUAUGGGUGUUCACCUUCAUGUACAACAUACCGCAUUUUUUGUUGAUUGGUAAGUUGUAGGGUGUGAACCUUUAAACGAUGAGAUGCGCAUGUUGAAUCAGAAUAAGACGGAUGGUGUGAUGAAGCUACAAGAUGAUACUCAAGACGACAGAACUUCCGAGCAGCACGCAACAGGAGUUGUAUUUAAUGAACACAAAAAUUACGCUGACGGAACAAGGGAGCAGUUCAACGCACAGAGGCGUGCAGCUUAUCGGAAGAACAAAGAGGAGGAUACUGUCAGGUUACAAGAGGAGAAUCAACCUUCCCUUUCAAAUUCUGGACACAGUGAGAUGCAACGCGAGGGAAAUUGAAGCCAAAACAUGCAGGAUGACAGGAGUGUGCCAUUUUUUCUAUGACAGGUUAGUGAUUUUAUCCUUUUUGUAUUUUUACAUUCCUAGGUACAGAAGUUUAUAUGAAACGAUUUGUUAAGGGCAUGGGGUGGUUCUACAAUCUUCAGGAAAUCAAGCAGUAGCACCGGAUGCUGACAUGCAUGGAAGUAAAAAUUGAUAGGAGUACAAGCAUUGGAGGAGUACUCAGUACUCACCAUGUUCGACGAAGUCGUGGUGGUGGUGGUUGAGGAAGUCGUAGGUAACGGAGGCAUCAUCAGGGAGUAGGGACCAUCUUCUCCUCGAUUUAAAUUGUAGUACUCCAUGUACUCUCACUUGUAAACUAUUUGAAAUGCAGAUCCACUCCAAGAAUGUGCUCUAAAAUGGAGUAACAUGGAGUAUACUCUAAAAUCAGUUUAGUUUGAGCCCAGUAGAUCAAUCAAAGUACGCUGGCGUGAUAACAAGAAUACUGCAACCUAAUCAGUUUGGUUUGAGCCAAGCAAGAGUACUAAAAUCUUGACAAAAAGAAUACUACAGCACGAUGCACAUUAUUUCAGAGAUGUUGAUUUCAAUACAUACAACCCAUUGAGAAACAUGAUUUUCAGAAAUGUUGAUUUCAGUUAAACUACAACGUUUACUCCAAGUAAUACUCUAAGAAACAAUACAAGCACCUACUGUACUGAAAGUACUCCUGUAGUGCAAAUACUCUAGGCAGAAUGUACUCCUACAGUACUGAAAGUGUACUCCUGUGAGUAUCAAAUUUACUGAAUUUAGAGGCAUCAAAAUGCUCACACCCAAGUUCAAUCAUCUACACAUGGAGUAGUGCAAUCGAGAGGUCUUACCAUGCUUGAAUCAACAAGAGGCAGUGGUAUCAGGAGCUGCAUCGUCCAGGAGCAGCAGCAGCAGCCUUUCCAAUCGCUCCUUGCGCCUUGCCUUUCCAAUCUACUCACGUGGCAGAGAGCAGUUCUUGGCCAUAGUACAUCUGCAUCCAUAUUCCAUCCAGAGAAACAAUCACAAUCAGCUCCAGAAUCUCUCCUUGCCUUUCCCCAAAUCAUAGGCUCCAGAGAUUGGAAAGGGGUGGGGAAAAUUAAGGAUGCAAACCUUGCAGGUCGAGCAUGGGGAGAUCAACUUCAGGGGCGACCUAGGAGCAGGUGACGAGGAACUCAUAGAAGCGAUGGUGAUAGAGGUGAAGGUGUCCGAUGUUUCGAUGAGAUAGAUAUCAUUUUCUAUGGGAGUCGACUUUGACGAUCCGACUAUGAACGUGAGAAGACAUCGCGCCUUAGCAAUCGCUAAACCAACUUCCGAGGGUUAUUGUGAUGAGGACAUCAAUACCAUUAUUA
Triticum urartu is the source of this 2397-nucleotide non-coding RNA. The record is from RefSeq and is a predicted model, not a curated record. Lineage: Eukaryota; Viridiplantae; Streptophyta; Magnoliopsida; Poales; Poaceae.